CCUACGGGAGGCAGCAGUGAGGAAUAUUGGUCAAUGGACGCAAGUCUGAACCAGCCAUGCCGCGUGCAGGAAGACGGCUCUAUGAGUUGUAAACUGCUUUUGUACGAGGGUAAACUCCGGUAUGUGUACCUCUCUGCAUGUAUCUUACGAAUAAGGAUCGGCUAACUCCGUGCCAGCAGCCGCGGUAAUACGGAGGAUCCGAGCGUUAUCCGGAUUUAUUGGGUUUAAAGGGUGCGUAGGCGGUCGGUUAAGUUAGAGGUGAAAUCCCGAGGCUCAACUUCGGAAUUGCAGUUGAUACUGGUAGGCUAGAGAGUAGUUGAGGUAGGCGGAAUGCAUGGUGUAGCGGUGAAAUGCUUAGAGAUCAUGAAGAACACCGAUUGCGAAGGCAGCUUGC
RNAcentral lists this ribosomal RNA (394 nucleotides) under uncultured bacterium. RNAcentral describes it as "partial 16S ribosomal RNA". It matches the Rfam family "Bacterial small subunit ribosomal RNA", at positions 338 to 729 of the family's 1533-position model. The record is from RNAcentral.